GACGAACGCUGGCGGCGUGCUUAACACAUGCAAGUCGAACGAAGUGGCGAACGGGUGAGUAACGCGUAAUCAACCUGCCCUUCAGAGGGGGACAACAGUUAGAAAUGACUGCUAAUACUCCAUAGCAAGGGAUGAGACUAUAUCGUAUCAGCUAGUCGGUGGGGUAACGGCCUACCUAGGCUAUGACGCGUAACUGGUCUGAGAGGAUGAUCAGUCACAUGGGAACUGAGACACGGUCCAAACUCCUACGGGAGGCAGCAGUAGGGAAGCUUCCGCAAUGGACGAAAGUCUGACGGAGCAACGCCGCGUGAGUGAUGACGGCCUUCGGGUUGUAAAGCUCUGUUAAUCGGGACGCGGUACCGGAAUAGAAAGCAACGGCUAACUACGUGCCAGCAGCCGCGGUAAUUC
This 408-nucleotide ribosomal RNA is filed under the name uncultured bacterium. RNAcentral describes it as "partial 16S ribosomal RNA". It matches the Rfam family "Bacterial small subunit ribosomal RNA", at positions 28 to 526 of the family's 1533-position model. The record is from RNAcentral.